This 324-nucleotide ribosomal RNA is filed under the name Triticum aestivum (bread wheat). RNAcentral's name for it is "partial small subunit ribosomal RNA". The record is from RNAcentral. Lineage: Eukaryota; Viridiplantae; Streptophyta; Magnoliopsida; Poales; Poaceae.
AUGAAAAGGACAAGGUCCGAUAAGGAGGAAGACAAAGAGGAUGAUGGUGGUUACCCCAAUGUUAAUGCCACCUUGGUGAUUUUUGCUGAUCUCGAGAGCAAAAGUCGACUGAAAGUAAUUAACAGAGAGGUGAACAUGGUUGCUCCGGCAACACCAAGAUAUUUGAAGUGGCCAAAACCCCCUAUUACAUUCGACCAGUCCGACCACCCGCCGCACAUUGCUACCCCUGGGCGACAAGCAUUGGUGGUCGACCCAGUUGUUGGGGGCACCCGACUGACCAAGGUUUUGAUGGAUGGUGUUAGUGCUCUGAAUAUAUUGUAUUGA